ACUCCUACGGGAGGCAGCAGUGGGGAAUAUUGCACAAUGGGGGAAACCCUGAUGCAGCCAUGCCGCGUGUGUGAAGAAGGCCUUCGGGUUGUAAAGCACUUUCUAGUAGGGAGGAAGGUAGUGUAGUUAACACCUGCACUAUUUGUACGUUACCUACAGAAGAAGCACCGGCUAACUCCGUGCCAGCAGCCGCGGUAAGUACGGAGGGUGCGAGCGUUAAUCGGAAUUACUGGGCGUAAAGCGCAUGCAGGCGGCCUGUUAAGUCAGAUGUGAAAGCCCGGGGCUUAACCUCGGAAUUGCAUUUGAAACUGGCAGGCUAGAGUCUUGUAGAGGGGUUAGAAUUUCAGGUGUAGCGGUGAAAUGCGUAGAGAUCUGAAGG
Molecule: ribosomal RNA, 379 nt
Filed under: uncultured bacterium
Lineage: Bacteria
Description: bacterial SSU rRNA
Rfam family: Bacterial small subunit ribosomal RNA
Source: RNAcentral